GGUGGCUGAGUGGUAAAGUACUUGCCUUGCAUGCAUAAGGCCCUGGGUUCAAUUCCUCAGCACCA
RNAcentral lists this transfer RNA (65 nucleotides) under Dipodomys ordii (Ord's kangaroo rat). It matches the Rfam family "tRNA". Rfam says of the family: Transfer RNA (tRNA) molecules are approximately 80 nucleotides in length. Lineage: Eukaryota; Metazoa; Chordata; Mammalia; Rodentia; Heteromyidae. The record is from Rfam by way of RNAcentral.